AUACUUACCUGGCAGGGGAGAUGCCAUGAUCACGAAGGUGGUUUUCCCAGGGCGAGGCUUGGCCAAUGCACUCCGGAUGAGCUGACCCCUGCGAUUUCCCCAAAUGUGGGAAACCUGACUGCACAAUUUGUGGUAGUUGCGGGCAGGGGGAAAGAUAGUCGCUA
Small nuclear RNA from Molossus molossus (Pallas's mastiff bat), 164 nucleotides. RefSeq annotates it as U1 spliceosomal RNA. The transcript has a single exon. The record is from RefSeq and is a predicted model, not a curated record. NCBI's taxonomy places the organism in Eukaryota, Metazoa, Chordata, Mammalia, Chiroptera, Molossidae.